UGGUUGGAGGGUAUUGUGGCAACAUCUGGCGGGUACACGACUUUAAAGGUUUUUGAAGUUCAGAAACUAGCACCCCCCUCAAAGAAAAAGCGACCAGUUUCCAAACCUGGGACUAGUAAGGGGAAAACCAUGGACCUCAACCAGUUUCUGGAGCUGGAUUUCUAACUCAACUACACGUCACUACAAACCCUUCUGCUGCAGCACCCUGAAAUCUACAUGAAGCACUCUCCUUAUUCCGGCAUAAACUGUACCCCUCAUGUACUGUACCCCUCAUAAACUGUACCCUUCCGACAUAAACUGUACCCUUCCGACAUAAACUGUACCCUUCAUGACCAUGUCACACUAUUCGAAUUAUCAUUUUAUUCAAAAAACAAA
Molecule: long non-coding RNA, 375 nt
Organism: Bolinopsis microptera
Lineage: Eukaryota; Metazoa; Ctenophora; Tentaculata; Lobata; Bolinopsidae
Exons: 2
Source: RefSeq, a predicted model, not a curated record